RNAcentral lists this ribosomal RNA (897 nucleotides) under Triticum aestivum (bread wheat). RNAcentral describes it as "partial small subunit ribosomal RNA". Lineage: Eukaryota; Viridiplantae; Streptophyta; Magnoliopsida; Poales; Poaceae. The record is from RNAcentral.
AUGGCUAGCCGAUCAUCAUCCCUGCUGCAACUGCUGGUACUGGUAGUAGCGGCGGCGCAGUUCCUUGGGUCGGAAGCCGGUGGCAUUUCCAUCUAUUGGGGCCAGAAUGGCGGCGAGGGCACGCUGGCGGAGACAUGUGCUACCGGCAACUACAAAUUUGUAAACCUCGCCUUCCUUGCCGCCUUUGGCAAUGGCCAGCCGCCGGUCCUCAACCUGGCAGGCCACUGUGACCCGACCAACAGCGGCUGCGCGAACCUAAGCUCCGACAUCAAGUCAUGCCAGAGCCGCGGCGUCAAGGUGAUUCUCUCCAUCGGUGGCGGGGCAGGCAGCUACUACCUUUCCUCAACCCAGGACGCUAAGAACGUGGCGACAUACCUAUGGAACAACUUCUUGGGGGGUAAGUCAUCUUCGCGGCCUCUCGGCGAUGCAGUCCUCGAUGGCAUCGACUUCGAUAUUGAGGGCGGCACACCCCUUCAUUGGGACGAUCUUGCGAGGUUCCUCAAAGGAUACAGCAACUCUGGCAGGAGAGUCUACCUGACUGCCGCACCACAAUGCCCUUUCCCUGAUGCGUGGGUGGGUGGCGCCCUCAACACCGGCCUCUUUGACUAUGUGUGGGUGCAAUUCUACAACAACGCACCCUGUCAGUAUACCUCAGGUAGCACUACCAACCUAGCUGACGCAUGGAAGCAGUGGUUGACAGUUCCAGCAAAGCAGAUCUUCCUCGGCCUCCCGGCGUCACCUCAGGCUGCCGGAAGCGGGUUCAUCCCAGCUGAUGAUCUAAAGUCAGAUGUUCUCCCAUUGAUCAAAAGCACAGGGAAGUAUGGAGGGAUCAUGUUGUGGUCCAAAUACUAUGAUGACCAGGAUGGCUACAGCUCUUCGGUGAAGAGGGAUGUUUGA